UACGUAGGGUGCAGGCGUUGUCCGGAAUUAUUGGGCGUAAAGAGCUUGUAGGCGGUUUGUCGCGUCUGCUGUGAAAUUUCGGGGCUCAACCCCGAACUUGCAGUGGGUACGGGCAGACUAGAGUGUGGUAGGGGAGACUGGAAUUCCUGGUGUAGCGGUGAAAUGCGCAGAUAUCAGGAGGAACACCGAUGGCGAAGGCAGGUCUCUGGGCCACGACUGACGCUGAGAAGCGAAAGCAUGGGGAGCGAACAGG
Molecule: ribosomal RNA, 253 nt
Filed under: uncultured bacterium
Lineage: Bacteria
Description: partial 16S ribosomal RNA
Rfam family: Bacterial small subunit ribosomal RNA
Source: RNAcentral